AUUUUUAUAAAUAAAAUCUGCUCCAUGAAAAUUAAAUAGCCGCAGAUCCCUGUGCUAAGGUAGCAUAAUCAUUAGUCUUUUAAUUUUAGACCAGUAUGAAUGAUUUAACAUUUUAAUUAACUUUUUUAUUUUAUAUAUUUAACUUUAAUUAAAAAUUAAAAUGUUUUUAUAAAUAAAAAAGACGAUAAGACCCUAUUGAACUUUACUAAAGUUGAGCUGGGGAAGCUAAUUAAUAACAAUUUUAAUAUAAUUUUAUAAAGAAAACCCCAAUAAAAUUGAAAUUAUCAAGUUACCAUAGGGAUAACAGCGUAAUAUAUUUUAAAAGCUCCUAUUUAAAAAAAAGAUUACGACCUCGAUGUUGAACUAUUUUACCUAAAAAACGCACCGUUUAAUAAGGGGGUCUGU
This 405-nucleotide ribosomal RNA is filed under the name Bathyphantes tongluensis. RNAcentral's name for it is "partial 16S ribosomal RNA". The record is from RNAcentral. Lineage: Eukaryota; Metazoa; Arthropoda; Arachnida; Araneae; Linyphiidae.